GAUCCAGAAGAGAAGAGUGACAAAAAUGGAGUAAAGAAGGUGACCAAGCAUGGUGUGACCAUGCAUUGUUCAAUAUGUGGAGCAGCUGAUCAUAACAAAAAGGGACACCAUAAUCAUGUUGAUAAGACUCCAAAUGAAGAAGCUGUUAGGGAAUCUGAAGAAGAGUAUGAUGAUCCAUCAAUACUUGCUAACAUAAUGCCACACAGGGUAUACCCACAGCUGGAUCCAACACAAACACCUGAUUGUAUGGUGUACAAGAUGCAGGAACAGGAGAGGUUCACGUACCCACCCCCUAGGGAAUUUGCCCCCUUGCCUGAGUCUACAUUUAUUGCAAAUGCUAGAGAAGCAAUGCCAGUAGGCAGAGUGACAACAGCAAUGGCUAGGGGGAGGGUGAGGAGUCAGCAAGCAGCACCUGCAAAUGGAGAGGAAGCAGCUGAGUCAAGUCAGCAAGCAGCAGCUGCAACAAGACCCAAGAAAAAACAAGCAAGAGGGGGAGGCAGUGUAGGGAGAGGAGCAACAAAUGUUGCAAGAGGAGGAGGAACUACUGGGAGGGGAGGAAGAUAUGGUGCAAGAGGAGGAAGAAGUGCUGGUAGAGGAGGAAGAAAUGGUGCAAGAGGAGGAAGAACUGCAGGUGCUACAUUUGGAGGAAGGGGU
This 654-nucleotide ribosomal RNA is filed under the name Triticum aestivum (bread wheat). RNAcentral's name for it is "partial small subunit ribosomal RNA". The record is from RNAcentral. Lineage: Eukaryota; Viridiplantae; Streptophyta; Magnoliopsida; Poales; Poaceae.